Molecule: ribosomal RNA, 501 nt
Filed under: uncultured bacterium
Lineage: Bacteria
Description: bacterial SSU rRNA
Rfam family: Bacterial small subunit ribosomal RNA
Source: RNAcentral
GACGAACGCUGGCGGCGUGCCUAACACAUGCAAGUCGAGCGGGGUUGAAGCGAGGGGUAACUCGAGUUUCUACCUAGCGGCGGACGGGUGAGUAACGCGUGGGCAACCUGCCUCAAGGACUGGGAUAACAGCUCGAAAGGGCUGCUAAUACCGGAUAAGCCCAUGGCCUCGCAUGGGGCCAUGAGCAAAGGGGAAACCCGCCUUGAGAUGGGCCCGCGUCCCAUCAGCUAGUUGGUGAGGUGAAGGCUCACCAAGGCGACGACGGGUAGCCGGCCUGAGAGGGUGACCGGCCACACUGGGACUGAGACACGGCCCAGACUCCUACGGGGGCAGCAGUGGGGAAUCUUGCACAAUGGGCGAAAGCCUGAUGCAGCGACGCCGCGUGAGCGAAGAAGGCCUGGUUGUAAGUCUGUCUGGAGGGACGAAGGAAGUGACGGUACCUCCGGACGGAAGGACCACGGCUAACUACGUGCCAGCAGCCGCGGUAACGUCACGAGAGUA